GACGAACGCUGGCGGCGUGCUUAACACAUGCAAGUCGAACGGAAAGGCCCUGCUUUUGUGGGGUGCUCGAGUGGCGAACGGGUGAGUAACACGUGAGUAACCUGCCCUUGACUUUGGGAUAACUUCAGGAAACUGGGGCUAAUACCGGAUAGGAGCUCCUGCUGCAUGGUGGGGGUUGGAAAGUUUCGGCGGUUGGGGAUGGACCCGCGGCUUAUCAGCUUGUUGGUGGGGUAGUGGCUUACCAAGGCUUUGACGGGUGGCCGGCCUGAGAGGGUGACCGGCCACAUUGGGACUGAGAUACGGCCCAGACUCCUACGGGAGGCAGCAGUGGGGAAUAUUGCACAAUGGGCGGAAGCCUGAUGCAGCAACGCCGCGUGCGGGAUGACGGCCUUCGGGUUGUAAACCGCUUUCGCCUGUGACGAAGCGUGAGUGACGGUAAUGGGUAAAGAAGCACCGGCUAACUACGU
Molecule: ribosomal RNA, 467 nt
Filed under: uncultured bacterium
Lineage: Bacteria
Description: partial 16S ribosomal RNA
Rfam family: Bacterial small subunit ribosomal RNA
Source: RNAcentral